RNAcentral lists this transfer RNA (75 nucleotides) under Oxynema mangrovii CENA135. RNAcentral's name for it is "tRNA-Leu". It matches the Rfam family "tRNA". From Rfam's summary of the family: Transfer RNA (tRNA) molecules are approximately 80 nucleotides in length. Their secondary structure includes four short double-helical elements and three loops (D, anti-codon, and T loops). The record is from RNAcentral. Lineage: Bacteria; Bacillati; Cyanobacteriota; Cyanophyceae; Oscillatoriales; Oscillatoriaceae. RNAcentral also lists the same sequence under 2 other names.
GCUCCUGUGGCGCAAUUGGCAGACGCGACAGCCUUAAAAUCUGUUUGUUUGCGGGUUCGAGUCCCGCCAGGAGUA